Molecule: long non-coding RNA, 3484 nt
Organism: Gasterosteus aculeatus aculeatus (three-spined stickleback)
Lineage: Eukaryota; Metazoa; Chordata; Actinopteri; Perciformes; Gasterosteidae
Source: Ensembl
GCGCGUGAAAAAAUGUUGCAUUUUAAUGGAGGACACGGUCGACUUCCGAGCGGGGUGGAAGUCGAGAUUUAAUGACAAUUUUUGCCUUGUUACAGCAGAUGGCUGCACAGAAAGACAAACGACUCGCCGCGUUUGUUGAUUGACGUGCGACGUACCCACACAGGUAGGAGCUUAAAUUUGAAAUCGCUUUGCUGACGACUGGGUUGUCCAAUCAUCGGGAAGCGGGGGCGGGAUAUAACCCCGUCAAUCAUGCAGAAACUAUAAUGGUUUGAAUAAGGAGGGAGGGGGAGAAUCCAAUCCGGUUUGAGCUAGUUCUUCUGCCAAUGGAACAUUACCGUCGCGCUACGCUGUAUUAGACUGUACUGGUACAGCUUUAUCCAGAAUAUACCACUGUAUCUUUCUCCUGUAUUGAGCAACAUUUAGCUCUUUUUUCUUAAAAAAAAAAAAAACUCACCCCACACAAACCAGCCAUGCCUAAAAGGAGCAAAGUGAGUAGACCGACAUCUUUCAUGCAUUCAGUAAUACGGCGUUUAUAACCCCCAAAUGCAAUGUGUAAGUUACAGCCAGCGGUCCGAGUUGUUACAAAAUACGUUUUUUUUGUUCCAGAUGAGUGUGUACAAUGUCGCCGCUUGCAUUCAGGAGUUUAGUUGAUGUGCUUGUCUGUUUUGAUGUCGUAAAGUGGCUGGUUCUCGGUGCUACAUCUUGAGCAGUGAUUAUCUUUGUGCCGAGUGGUUUCCCCCCGUGUCGGAUUUUAUAUUUAUACUGCAAGAUGGUGAAAUCCAGUUACAAUUGCGUGUAAAUUACGUUAACUUGCAGCGUAGGACCAGGCAGGGACGUUUUCUCAGUCGACGGGCUGCUUUUUCUGCAUAGAAAGUUGGCGGCAUAUUGAUUGUUUCCUAUGGGGGUCGUCGCGCUGGCCACUAAAGUUUCUAAAACGCAUACUGAAAUUUAAAGGAUGUUAUUCGGUGGGUUUAAGGCUUUUACGCUAAGCCAGUGGUUAUCGCGUGGGAAACGAGUCCUUUAAAGGCUGUCUCGUGGAUCAAACUCGUUUUUUUAAACGAUAAUAUGCGAAUGGCGCUUCCCUAAAACCUAACAUGCAUGUGUUGUUUUUGUUAAUGAAUGGCCGCCCUUUUAUCAACGUUGAAAAAAAUGAAUUUCUUGGGAGGCGGUCGUCGUGUCCGCCGAGUGUCUUUAUGUGUAGUCGGCUCAGGCCAGUCGAAGGGUUAUGCAAUGGCGAGCCUCCGUCAGCAAAGCGCCUGCUCCUGUUGCUGGGGGUUCUAGUAGAAUCUGCUACCAGAUCGACGGAGUCGCCGCUGAGCGUCUCGUAGUGACUCUUUUCAAAUUCGUGGCGGGAGCCGCUCGCUGCACGGCUCGGUUUCGCUCCGUAAACUGGCAAUCCCGUUUUAUUACCAAUGAAUGGAUGCGCUCGCGGGGAGGCGGAGUUCCACAGCGCAGACAAAUCACAGGAGGCGCGAGAGCGCGACCUCAGGCCGCGGCCUAAACUACACUUUGCUGUGUGUAGAAUGCAGACUUCCAUUGCUGUUGCUGUGUAGACAAAUGUACUUCCGCAUUGAUUCGUUCUGCUGAGUGCCGAGUAUAAUGUGUAAUGGGCGUGAUUGAGAAGUGAGUCUUGCUCUUCCGUGGUUACCAGUCCUAUUGUUCCGAGAUUUAGAACAUAUCUCAGCCAAUCACAGCGGCCGGUCUGAGCUCAAUCAUGUAUGAAGCUCGCCGUACACCCAUAGGCCAAUGUUCUGUCGGGAAACGCCCACUUUUGAGUUACAUAACUAAUACUUAAAUCCCAUGACCUUCUACCCCCCAUCAACUCACCAUAGGCACAUUAAAAUGCAGAAAAAUGCUGUAACUGGAUUUCUUUGAUUGUUUUGUCUCUAACAGGCAGGGGGAGAAACAGUGGUAAGUAAUAAUUAAAGAUACUUGAUAUAACAUCUGAUCUUUUUUCUAUUAUAAAUAAAAACGUUAGUCUGUGCACCCACCAGAGGUCAGUAAGACCCCAUCUGUGAGUGCAAUUGACGGAUGUGUUGAAAAUAAUCACCUGUGUGUUUACCCUGUGCAGGCCAAGAGGAGAUCUCUCAGGUUGAGUGAAAAACCUGCACCUUCAAAGGCAGAGGCCAAACCUAAGCCCAAGAAGGCACCUGCUAAGCCUAAAAAAGCCAAGGAGGUGGAGAAGGCAAAGCCCGAGGAGAAAGCACCAGAGGCCCCCGCUGAGAAUGGUGAAGCCAAAGCCGAGGAAGAGGCACCGGCCACAGAAGAAGCGGACGAAAAAGAUGAUGCGGCAGAAUAACAUCUCUCAAACCACGUCUUUGCCAGUGCUCCCUGUACCUCUUUUCUUGUACAAUUCAGGGGAAUAUUUUUAUCAACUAUUUUCUAAAUACAGGUUUUUUAGUAGUUUGAUUGUAGAGAACACUUUUUUUUAAUGAAAGAAAAAAAAGUCAAUUUGGAGACGGGAAUUUCGUCACAUCCCACAAUUUUGCAUCGCCACAAAAAAUCGCGGUUGUUGUUUCUGUCAGUGGAUUUCGUUUCAUUUUUAAAUGUGAAGAGGGCGGGGAGGGGUUGCAGGACAGGUUACUGUGUCGGCGCUUAAGCACAGCGUUCACAGCAGCUGGGGCAACAACCAGAGGAGCUUGUCCACGUGGAUUACAUUCCAUAUGCUUUAUAAGGGACAAUGUGUGUAAUCUGUGCGGGGUGGGAAUAGACAAAGUCACAGGGCAACUCAUUGUUUUAUUGUUCAUAAUGAAGAACUGUGUUUUAGAAUGUUUGUAAGCUUUGUUCCUAUAUGUUAUCUCUUGUACUCAUGCAGAUUUUCAAUGAAUCUGAUCAAUAAAGCUAAAAAUCCCUAGUACUCGAGCUCUCCUUAUCAAAACUGCAUCGCGUGUGUUGGUUGUGUCUCUGUUUCUGUGAUAGCAUCGCAAUAAAUUUGUAUAGCUGCUGUGAAAAAAAAGGUUUUCAAUCUUUCUAUAUGCAUUGUGUAAUGGUACAUAGUAAGGAUGGUAAAAAUGGAAUUUGUUUUCUUAGCCAGGAUAAUGAGGUGUGUAACCAUCAAAAACAAACUUGAGAUUGGCGUCUUUAAGGCCAACCGACAAACUGUACAUUUAUUUGAGAUGUCAAAUGCAUACCAGCAGUAGCAAUAUUAAUGUGGGUUUUAGAUAUCUGUAUCAAGUACACGUGUGCCGUUCAUUUUUAUUUGUUUAUAGAUGUACCUGUGUAAUGAUUGUUAUCAACAAACCAAUAAAACUCUGUUGGUAGUUGUUUCAUUCUGAGGCGUCGGUUUAUGAGCGAGGUUGCUGAAAGAUUGCUGUAACUGUUUCUAAAAGUUAAUGAAAGGGAGAAUACAAUAAAUAUUGAUAUUUAUAACAUAGAAAUGUGCUUGCCGCUUCCGCAUUGAUAGUGAUUUGUUAAAUCACCAAGCAAGCACCUACACUAUAACAAAUGUUUUCUACAUGUAAAAUAAAACUUGAUUCAUUAUCUG